CAGCCGCCGCGGUAAUACGUAGGGUGCGAGCGUUAAUCGGAUUUACUGGGCGUAAAGCGUGCGCAGGCGGCCCGUUAAGACAGGUGUGAAAUCCCUGGGCUCAACCUAGGAAUUGCGCUUGUGACUGGCGGGCUCGAGUACGGUAGAGGGGGGUGGAAUUCCUGGUGUAGCAGUGAAAUGCGUAGAGAUCAGGAGGAACACCGAUGGCGAAGGCAGCCCCCUGGGCCGGUACUGACGCUCAUGCACGAAAGCGUGGGGCGCAAACAGGAUUAGAUACCCUGGUAGUCCACGCCGUAAACGAUGGGUACUAGCCGUUUGGUGCGCGAUAGCGCUGAGUGGCGAAGCUAACGCGUGAAGUACCCCGCCUGGGGAGUACGGCCGCAAGGUUGAAACUUAAAGGAAUUGGCGGG
This 410-nucleotide ribosomal RNA is filed under the name uncultured microorganism. RNAcentral describes it as "bacterial SSU rRNA". It matches the Rfam family "Bacterial small subunit ribosomal RNA", at positions 509 to 917 of the family's 1533-position model. The record is from RNAcentral.